CCUACGGGGUGCAGCCGUGGGGAAUAUUGGGCAAUGGGCGAAAGCCUGACCCAGCAACGCCGCGUGAAGGAAGAAGGCUUUCGGGUUGUAAACUUCUUUUGACAGGGAAGAGCAGCAGACGGUACCUGUCGAAUCAGCCACGGCUAACUACGUGCCAGCAGCCGCGGUAAUACGUAGGUGGCUAGCGUUCUCCGGAUUUACUGGGUGUAAAGGGCGUGUAGCCGGGCUGACAAGUCAGAUGUGAAAUCCGGGGGCUCAACCCACGAACUGCAUUUGAAACUGUUGUUCUUGAGUAUCGGCGAUGGAGGCGGAAUGCGUGGUGGAGCGGUGAACUGCGUAGAUAUCA
This 346-nucleotide ribosomal RNA is filed under the name uncultured bacterium. RNAcentral describes it as "partial 16S ribosomal RNA". It matches the Rfam family "Bacterial small subunit ribosomal RNA", at positions 338 to 699 of the family's 1533-position model. The record is from RNAcentral.